This 178-nucleotide ribosomal RNA is filed under the name Anaerolineae bacterium. Its description in RNAcentral is "partial 16S ribosomal RNA". It matches the Rfam family "Bacterial small subunit ribosomal RNA", at positions 1 to 177 of the family's 1533-position model. The record is from RNAcentral. Lineage: Bacteria; Bacillati; Chloroflexota; Anaerolineae.
AUUACGGAGAGUUUGAUCCUGGCUCAGGAUGAACGUUGGCGGCGUGCUUAACACAUGCAAGUCGAACGAAGAAUUUGUAGCAAUACGAGUUCUUAGUGGCGAAUGGGUGAGUAACACGUAGGUGACCUACCCUGGAGUGGGGAAUAACAGUCCGAAAGGAUUGCUAAUACCCCAUACA